AUGCAAGGGCAGCCCCAUCCCUGGGGGAGACUCAGGAAUGCAGCUCCAGGCAUUCCCUGCUCUGUGUCCAUCCCAGGUUGUUCCUGGGGUCCCCCAAAACCUUCUCUGCUCUGGCAGCGAGGUGACAACACCUGGCACACACCAAAACGCCGAAAUCGUGCCCCCAAACCCACGGCUGGGCAGAACUGGAGUCAAUCUGCAGAGGGGAUGGGGCUGUCACCCCCAGAGCCCACCCCAGCACUUCCUGGGCAGGGGCAAUAUCGGGAGGGGUUCCGGGUGUCCCAGGGAGGGGAGGCAGAUGCUGACGGUCACCCUGGGGCCAGCAGAGCCACCCUGGGGCCGGCGGAGCCGCCCUGGGGCCAGCAGAGCCGCCCUGGGGCAGGGAUGGAGGGACCGUCCCUGUCCCCGCCAAGGGAGGUGACCCGUGGCACCCCGCACCCCGUCCCGGCUGCGCCCGCAUUGCCGCAGCCUUUCUCCAGCGGUUUUCCAGCCCGGCGGCACCCGAGGAGCCGGGAAGGGCUCGGUGUCCUCGCUGGGCACCCCCGGGCCCGGCUGGGGGUCCGCAGGUGGUGCUGGGGUCAGUGCCAGCCUGGGGUCCCUCCCAGCCGCUCCAUCCACCCUCAGUGGAGGGAGGAGCCUCCCGGUGCCGGAUCCCCAGCGGUGACAUCCAGGCUGGCGGAGACGGAGCGCGGCGGCGACAGGGACAGCCACAGCGGGGACACGGGCGGGGACACGGGCAGGGGCACCCGGGCCGGACCGAGAGCCGCGGCAGGGAAGGGUCCUGAGGGACACGGCGCAGGACAGGGCUGGGGGUGCUGGGGCACCCCCGGAGCUCCGGCUGGUGGAGGAGGAGCUGGGCUGUCCCCAGACCCUCUGGGACAGAACCGGACCCCACUGGCUGCAGCCAUGGGGCGUCCCUGGCCCCGCUCGCUGCUGCUCCUGCUGCUCCUCCCCCCGCUUCAGGUGAGUGGCCCUGGGGACAACGUGGGGACAGGCGGGGGGCACUGGCGGUCCCCCCAUGCCAGCCACCUCCCACUGCUGCCAGCAGUGAAGGGUCCUCCUGCCCAGGGUGAGGGCUACACAUCCCAUCCCAUCCCAUCCCAUCCCAUCCCAUCCCAU
This is a long non-coding RNA of Chloebia gouldiae (Gouldian finch), 1119 nucleotides long. Lineage: Eukaryota; Metazoa; Chordata; Aves; Passeriformes; Passeridae. The record is from Ensembl.